Molecule: long non-coding RNA, 203 nt
Organism: Solanum dulcamara
Lineage: Eukaryota; Viridiplantae; Streptophyta; Magnoliopsida; Solanales; Solanaceae
Exons: 3
Source: RefSeq, a predicted model, not a curated record
GUUGCUGAAUAACGAUGGCAAGUCGUGGUUUCAUGCAGUUUUAAUCGUUUAGUCUGAUUGCUCCUGCGAAUUUGUGUGUUGCUUGCACAAAAGGUAGUGACCGGUAUCUGUUGCUAUAGGCAUUGGAACCUUCUCUGUUAAGGUGGAUGACAAUGGAUAUGGUGUCUCACGAGAUGGACUGGUGCUGAUUGGAGAAAGAUAUG